AUUGAACGCUGGCGGCAUGCCUUACACAUGCAAGUCGAACGGCAGCGGACCUUCGGGUGCCGGCGAGUGGCGAACGGGUGGAGUAAUAUAUCGGAACGGUACCUUUCUAGUGGGGGAGUAACGUAGCGAAAGUUAACGUCUAAUACCGCAUAUUCUGUGAGCAGGAAAGCAGGGGAGUCGCAAGACCUUGCGCUGAUUGAGCGGCCGAUAUCAGAUUAGCUAGUUGGUGAGGUAAGGACUCACCAAGGACGACGAUCUGUAGCGGGUCGUGAGAGGAUGAUCCGCCACACUGGAACUGAGACACGGUCCAGACUCCUACGGGAGGCAGCAGUGGGGAAUUUUGGACAAUGGGCGCAAGCCUGAUCCAGCCAUGCCGCGUGAGUGAAGAAGGCC
RNAcentral lists this ribosomal RNA (393 nucleotides) under uncultured bacterium. Its description in RNAcentral is "bacterial SSU rRNA". It matches the Rfam family "Bacterial small subunit ribosomal RNA", at positions 30 to 416 of the family's 1533-position model. The record is from RNAcentral.